This 2931-nucleotide ribosomal RNA is filed under the name Escherichia coli. RNAcentral describes it as "23S ribosomal RNA". It matches the Rfam family "Bacterial large subunit ribosomal RNA". Lineage: Bacteria; Pseudomonadati; Pseudomonadota; Gammaproteobacteria; Enterobacterales; Enterobacteriaceae. The record is from RNAcentral.
GGGUUGUGAGGUUAAGCGACUAAGCGUACACGGUGGAUGCCCUGGCAGUCAGAGGCGAUGAAGGACGUGCUAAUCUGCGAUAAGCGUCGGUAAGGUGAUAUGAACCGUUAUAACCGGCGAUUUCCGAAUGGGGAAACCCAGUGUGAUUCGUCACACUAUCAUUAACUGAAUCCAUAGGUUAAUGAGGCGAACCGGGGGAACUGAAACAUCUAAGUACCCCGAGGAAAAGAAAUCAACCGAGAUUCCCCCAGUAGCGGCGAGCGAACGGGGAGCAGCCCAGAGCCUGAAUCAGUGUGUGUGUUAGUGGAAGCGUCUGGAAAGGCGUGCGAUACAGGGUGACAGCCCCGUACACAAAAAUGCACAUGCUGUGAGCUCGAUGAGUAGGGCGGGACACGUGGUAUCCUGUCUGAAUAUGGGGGGACCAUCCUCCAAGGCUAAAUACUCCUGACUGACCGAUAGUGAACCAGUACCGUGAGGGAAAGGCGAAAAGAACCCCGGCGAGGGGAGUGAAAAAGAACCUGAAACCGUGUACGUACAAGCAGUGGGAGCACGCUUAGGCGUGUGACUGCGUACCUUUUGUAUAAUGGGUCAGCGACUUAUAUUCUGUAGCAAGGUUAACCGAAUAGGGGAGCCGAAGGGAAACCGAGUCUUAACUGGGCGUUAAGUUGCAGGGUAUAGACCCGAAACCCGGUGAUCUAGCCAUGGGCAGGUUGAAGGUUGGGUAACACUAACUGGAGGACCGAACCGACUAAUGUUGAAAAAUUAGCGGAUGACUUGUGGCUGGGGGUGAAAGGCCAAUCAAACCGGGAGAUAGCUGGUUCUCCCCGAAAGCUAUUUAGGUAGCGCCUCGUGAAUUCAUCUCCGGGGGUAGAGCACUGUUUCGGCAAGGGGGUCAUCCCGACUUACCAACCCGAUGCAAACUGCGAAUACCGGAGAAUGUUAUCACGGGAGACACACGGCGGGUGCUAACGUCCGUCGUGAAGAGGGAAACAACCCAGACCGCCAGCUAAGGUCCCAAAGUCAUGGUUAAGUGGGAAACGAUGUGGGAAGGCCCAGACAGCCAGGAUGUUGGCUUAGAAGCAGCCAUCAUUUAAAGAAAGCGUAAUAGCUCACUGGUCGAGUCGGCCUGCGCGGAAGAUGUAACGGGGCUAAACCAUGCACCGAAGCUGCGGCAGCGACGCUUAUGCGUUGUUGGGUAGGGGAGCGUUCUGUAAGCCUGCGAAGGUGUGCUGUGAGGCAUGCUGGAGGUAUCAGAAGUGCGAAUGCUGACAUAAGUAACGAUAAAGCGGGUGAAAAGCCCGCUCGCCGGAAGACCAAGGGUUCCUGUCCAACGUUAAUCGGGGCAGGGUGAGUCGACCCCUAAGGCGAGGCCGAAAGGCGUAGUCGAUGGGAAACAGGUUAAUAUUCCUGUACUUGGUGUUACUGCGAAGGGGGGACGGAGAAGGCUAUGUUGGCCGGGCGACGGUUGUCCCGGUUUAAGCGUGUAGGCUGGUUUUCCAGGCAAAUCCGGAAAAUCAAGGCUGAGGCGUGAUGACGAGGCACUACGGUGCUGAAGCAACAAAUGCCCUGCUUCCAGGAAAAGCCUCUAAGCAUCAGGUAACAUCAAAUCGUACCCCAAACCGACACAGGUGGUCAGGUAGAGAAUACCAAGGCGCUUGAGAGAACUCGGGUGAAGGAACUAGGCAAAAUGGUGCCGUAACUUCGGGAGAAGGCACGCUGAUAUGUAGGUGAAGUCCCUCGCGGAUGGAGCUGAAAUCAGUCGAAGAUACCAGCUGGCUGCAACUGUUUAUUAAAAACACAGCACUGUGCAAACACGAAAGUGGACGUAUACGGUGUGACGCCUGCCCGGUGCCGGAAGGUUAAUUGAUGGGGUUAGCGCAAGCGAAGCUCUUGAUCGAAGCCCCGGUAAACGGCGGCCGUAACUAUAACGGUCCUAAGGUAGCGAAAUUCCUUGUCGGGUAAGUUCCGACCUGCACGAAUGGCGUAAUGAUGGCCAGGCUGUCUCCACCCGAGACUCAGUGAAAUUGAACUCGCUGUGAAGAUGCAGUGUACCCGCGGCAAGACGGAAAGACCCCGUGAACCUUUACUAUAGCUUGACACUGAACAUUGAGCCUUGAUGUGUAGGAUAGGUGGGAGGCUUUGAAGUGUGGACGCCAGUCUGCAUGGAGCCGACCUUGAAAUACCACCCUUUAAUGUUUGAUGUUCUAACGUUGACCCGUGAUCCGGGUUGCGGACAGUGUCUGGUGGGUAGUUUGACUGGGGCGGUCUCCUCCUAAAGAGUAACGGAGGAGCACGAAGGUUGGCUAAUCCUGGUCGGACAUCAGGAGGUUAGUGCAAUGGCAUAAGCCAGCUUGACUGCGAGCGUGACGGCGCGAGCAGGUGCGAAAGCAGGUCAUAGUGAUCCGGUGGUUCUGAAUGGAAGGGCCAUCGCUCAACGGAUAAAAGGUACUCCGGGGAUAACAGGCUGAUACCGCCCAAGAGUUCAUAUCGACGGCGGUGUUUGGCACCUCGAUGUCGGCUCAUCACAUCCUGGGGCUGAAGUAGGUCCCAAGGGUAUGGCUGUUCGCCAUUUAAAGUGGUACGCGAGCUGGGUUUAGAACGUCGUGAGACAGUUCGGUCCCUAUCUGCCGUGGGCGCUGGAGAACUGAGGGGGGCUGCUCCUAGUACGAGAGGACCGGAGUGGACGCAUCACUGGUGUUCGGGUUGUCAUGCCAAUGGCACUGCCCGGUAGCUAAAUGCGGAAGAGAUAAGUGCUGAAAGCAUCUAAGCACGAAACUUGCCCCGAGAUGAGUUCUCCCUGACUCCUUGAGAGUCCUGAAGGAACGUUGAAGACGACGACGUUGAUAGGCCGGGUGUGUAAGCGCAGCGAUGCGUUGAGCUAACCGGUACUAAUGAACCGUGAGGCUUAACCUUACAACGCCGAAGGUGUUU